AGCGGCGGAUGGGUGAGUAACACGUGGGGAACCUUGACCCCCAUAGUCUGGGGAUACCACUUUGGGAAACAGGUGCUAAUACCGGAUAAUAAAGCAGAUCGCAUGAUCAGCUUAUAAAAGGCGGCGUAAGCUGUCGCUAUGGGAUGGCCCCGCGGUGCAUUAGCUAGUUGGUAAGGUAACGGCUUUACCCAAGGCAAUGAUGCAUUAGCCGAGUUGAGAAGACUGAACGGCCACAUUGGGACUGAGACACGGCCCUAAACUCC
This 263-nucleotide ribosomal RNA is filed under the name uncultured Lactobacillales bacterium. RNAcentral's name for it is "partial 16S ribosomal RNA". It matches the Rfam family "Bacterial small subunit ribosomal RNA", at positions 94 to 339 of the family's 1533-position model. Lineage: Bacteria; Bacillati; Bacillota; Bacilli; Lactobacillales. The record is from RNAcentral.